GUGAUAGUCUUGUAAUCGAAAAUUUUAAUUUAAGUAGGUUUUAUCCCAAGUAGCAUGGAGCACGUGGAAUUCCGUGUGAAUCAACGAGGACCACCUCGUAAGGCUAAAUAUUACUAAGUGACCAAUAGUGAUUAGUACCGUGAGGGAAAGGUGAAAAGAACCCCGUAAGGGGAGUGAAAUAGAACAUGAAACUGUAAGCUUACAAACAGUAGUAGAACGACUUAACGUUUUACUGCGUGCCUGUUGAAGAAUGAGCCGGCGACUCAUAUGUGAUGGCAGGUUAAAUGUUGGAGCCAUAGCGAAAGCGAGUCUGAAAAGGGCGUUUGUCAUUAUGUAUGGACCCGAACCCGGAUGAUCUAACCAUGGCCAGGGUGAAACUUAGGUAAAAUUAAGUGGAGGCCCGAACCGACUGAUGUUGAAAAAUCAGCGGAUGAGUUGUGGUUAGGGGUGAAAUGCCAAUCGAAUCCGGAGCUAGCUGGUUCUCCCCGAAAUGCGUUUUGGCGCAGCGGUUAAUUUUAAAAUUUAGGGGUAAAGCACUGUUUCGGUGCGGGCUGGUAACUCGGUACCAAA
RNAcentral lists this ribosomal RNA (570 nucleotides) under Chrysoreinhardia sp. CCMP2950. RNAcentral's name for it is "partial Bacterial large subunit ribosomal RNA". It matches the Rfam family "Bacterial large subunit ribosomal RNA", at positions 364 to 943 of the family's 2925-position model. The record is from RNAcentral. Lineage: Eukaryota; Pelagophyceae; Sarcinochrysidales; Chrysocystaceae.